RNAcentral lists this ribosomal RNA (122 nucleotides) under Flavobacterium columnare. RNAcentral's name for it is "partial 16S ribosomal RNA". It matches the Rfam family "Bacterial small subunit ribosomal RNA", at positions 1382 to 1512 of the family's 1533-position model. The record is from RNAcentral. Lineage: Bacteria; Pseudomonadati; Bacteroidota; Flavobacteriia; Flavobacteriales; Flavobacteriaceae.
UGUACACACCGCCCGUCAAGCCAUGGAAGCUGGGGGUACCUGAAGUCGGUGACCGCAAGGAGCUGCCUAGGGUAAAACUGGUAACUAGGGCUAAGUCGUAACAAGGUAGCCGUACCGGAAGG